Molecule: non-coding RNA, 46 nt
Organism: Schistosoma mansoni
Lineage: Eukaryota; Metazoa; Platyhelminthes; Trematoda; Strigeidida; Schistosomatidae
Source: Rfam
GCACCGCUGAGGAGUCCCAUAAUAGGACGAAACGGCCGUUCGGUGC